CAGCAGCCGCGGGAACACGAAGGGGGCUAGCGUUGUUCGGAAUUACUGGGCGUAAAGGGCGCGUGGGCGGCCAUUCAAGUUAGAUGUGAAAGCCCUGGGCUCAACCUAGGAAUUGCAUUUGAUACUGUUUGGCUUGAGUUCGGGAGAGGUGAGUGGAAUUCCCAGUGUAGAGGUGAAAUUCGUAGAUAUUGGGAAGAACACCUGUGGCGAAAGCGGCUCACUGGACAAUAACUGACGCUGAUGCACGAAAGCGUGGGGAGCAAACAGGAUUAGAUACCCGAGUAGUCCCUGUCUCUUAUAC
This 301-nucleotide ribosomal RNA is filed under the name uncultured bacterium. RNAcentral's name for it is "partial 16S ribosomal RNA". It matches the Rfam family "Bacterial small subunit ribosomal RNA", at positions 509 to 807 of the family's 1533-position model. The record is from RNAcentral.